ACGGGAGGCAGCAGUAGGGAAUAUUGGACAAUGGGCGAAAGCCUGAUCCAGCAAUGCCGCGUGUGUGAAGAAGGCCUAUGGGUUGUAAAGCACUUUCAGUUGGGAAGAAAAGCUUUAGGUUAAUACCUUAGAGUCUUGACGUUACCAAUAGAAGAAGCACCGGCUAACUCUGUGCCAGCAGCCGCGGUAAGACAGAGGGUGCGAGCGUUAAUCGGAAUUACUGGGCGUAAAGCGUACGUAGGUGGUUGAGUCAGUCGGAUGUGAAAGCCCAAGGCUUAACCUUGGAACUGCAUUCGAAACUGCUCAACUAGAGUAUAGUAGAGGGAAGCGGAAUUUCUAGUGUAGCGGUGAAAUGCGUAGAUAUUAGAAAGAACACCAGUGGCGAAGGCGGCUUCCUGGACUAAUACUGACACUGAGGUACGAAAGCGUGGGGAGCAAACAGGAUUAGAUACUACACUAAGUGUCCCCCAGACUGGUGACAGUCUGGUGUGCAUCCAGCUAUAUCGGUGAAACCCCAUUGGGGUAAUACCGAGGGAAGCUAUGCUAUAUUAUAAUAUAUUAAUAAUAUAAUAAAUAAAAUAGCCCCGUAGAGACUAUGUAGGUAAGGAGAUAGAAGAUGAUAAAAUCAAAAUCAUCUUUGUCGAGUCGAUGUAAAGAAAUAAUCCUUGGUUCUGUUCUGGGAGAUGGGUCAAUAAAGAUACAUAAAGGCUAUAAGAAUGCUCGCUUUUCGUUUCGACACUCGGUAAAAUCGAGUGAAUAUUUUUACUGGAAAGUAAAAGAAUUAGAAGAGUUAUCAAGCGAUAACUGUGUGUGGAAACAAUGGAAUAGUGGCUCUUAUGCUGAAGAAAUGCUUCGAUAUCAAAGUCGAGCACUUGAAGAAUUGACCCAAAUUUAUGAAUUGGUUCAUCGUCAUCAUAAAUUAAAAAUACGAAGAAAAUGGUUGAAUAGACUUAGUCCACUUUCUUUAUGUGUAUGGUGGUUAGAUGAUGGUUCAUUGGUUGCAAAUUGCCGUCAAGGGGUGAUAUGUACAGACUGUUUUUCCUAUGAUGAGUUAUUACUCGUAGUCAAAUAUUUUAGGAAAGUAUGGAAUUUAUACCCUACCAUUGGCAAAGUAGCAAAAAGUGGACCCCGUUCUGAACAAUACCGUUUAUGGUAUCGUUCCAGAGAAGAGUUAAAAAAGUUUUUAAGGAUUAUUUUGCCUUAUGUGCCUGUCACUUCUAUGUUAUAUAAGGUACUUAUUCUUUACAAAGACCCAGAACUGCAACAACGCUGGAUCUCUGAAGUAUGUGAAUUAUCCAAAUUUGGGCAAGAAGAAAUAAUGAUUUGUCUAAAUGAGCGUAAGAAAAAAAUUGCAUACUAUAAUUAAUGAAUUAUCAGAGAAUGAUAUAGUCCAAGCCUUAUGGUAACAUGAGGGCACUUGACCCUGGUAGUCCACGCCCUAAACGAUGAGAACUAGAUGUUGGGGGAAAUUGAUCCCUUAGUAUCGCAGCUAACGCGAUAAGUUCUCCGCCUGGGGAGUACGGCCGCAAGGUUAAAACUCAAAUGAAUUGACGGGGGCCCGCACAAGCGGUGGAGCAUGUGGUUCAAUUCGAUGCAACGCGAAGAACCUUACCUGGCCUUGACAUCCUCGGAACCUCGCAGAAAUGUGGGGGUGCCUUUUGGAACCGAGAGACAGGUGCUGCAUGGCUGUCGUCAGCUCGUGUCGUGAGAUGUUGGGUUAAGUCCCGCAACGAGCGCAACCCUUGUCUCUAGUUGCCAGCGAUUAGGUCGGGAACUCUAGAGAGACUGCCGGUGACAAACCGGAGGAAGGUGGGGAUGACGUCAAGUCAUCAUGGCCCUUACGGCCAGGGCUACACACGUGCUACAAUGGGUAGUACAGAGGGUUGCAAACCCGCGAGGGAGAGCUAAUCUCACAAAACUACUCGUAGUCCGGAUUGGAGUCUGCAACUCGACUCCAUGAAGUCGGAAUCGCUAGUAAUCGCGGAUCAGAAUGUCGCGGUGAAUACGUUCCCGGGCCUUGUACAAAAUAAAUGCGCCUGGCAGUUUAUUAGACUAGGUGGUGAAAAUCCAUCUAUCCGCUUUCGGACAGCGGAUAUAGGGAAGGAUAGGACACGUCUCGUAAGGGAGUGUCUGAAGGAUCCGAAACGAAUGGUAGUCUCAGCAAAAAAUGGCGUUGUGACUCAUGUGUGUACCAUGAGGAAGCAACAAUACCGUAAGCCUGCUGGGAAUGUCAGAAAUAGCCUAAUAAAUGACCCAGGGAUAUCCUGUCGUUAAGAUAACCAAUGAUGCGACGGCAGGAAGUCAGCUGAUUCAUAGUAGCCGAUACGUCGGCAAAGGAUGAAACCUAUGAGAGAAAUCUCACCUGAGAACAUUUCGGGGUUUGUAGUAGGUGAAGGAUGUUUUUAUGUAGAAAGUGGUAAAGACUCAAAAUAUAAAUUAGGAUACAGAGUCAGAGCAGCAUUUUGCAUUGAACUAAGAGAAGAUGAUCGAGAAAUACUUGAGGCAAUUCAAAAAACUUUAGGAUGUGGCAAUAUUUACCAGCUUGAUUUUGGUAGAUAUAAAGAUUAUUCAAAAAAGAAUUGGAGACCUCAUGUAAAAUAUAGAGUGAGCAAUCAAAAUGAUCUCAUUCACAAGAUUAUCCCUUUCUUUGAAAGGUAUCCGCUUUUUGGUAAAAAGCUAAAAUCGUUUGAAGUUUUUAUCAAGAUUGUGGAUAAAAUAAAACUCAAAGAGCAUCUAACGCCAGAUGGUUUAGAAAAAACUAAGUUAUUGGUUUCUGAACUCAAAGCUCUGAAUAAGAAAGGCAUGUAGGACUCGCUGGAUGCGCUAGAAACGCUUGUCCAGUGGGAACGCGGCAAUGGUUAUAAUGACCGCAAUCACCGCCCGUCACACCAUGGGAGUGGGCUGUACCAGAAGUAGGUAGUCUAACCUUUCGGGGAGGGCGCUUACCACGGUAUGGUUCAUGACUGGGGUGAAGUCGUAACAAGGUAGCCGUAGGGGAACCUGCGGCUGGAUCACCUCCUUUAAAGA
This 3027-nucleotide ribosomal RNA is filed under the name Thiomargarita namibiensis. RNAcentral describes it as "bacterial SSU rRNA". The stretch from base 1 to 1916 matches the Rfam family "Bacterial small subunit ribosomal RNA", at positions 341 to 1533 of the family's 1533-position model. Lineage: Bacteria; Pseudomonadati; Pseudomonadota; Gammaproteobacteria; Thiotrichales; Thiotrichaceae. The record is from RNAcentral.